RNAcentral lists this ribosomal RNA (230 nucleotides) under uncultured bacterium. RNAcentral's name for it is "partial 16S ribosomal RNA". It matches the Rfam family "Bacterial small subunit ribosomal RNA", at positions 103 to 334 of the family's 1533-position model. The record is from RNAcentral.
CGGGUGAGUAACACGUAUCCAACCUGCCGUCUACUCUUGGACAGCCUUCUGAAGGAAGAUUAAUACAAGAUGGCAUCAUGAGUUCACAUGUUCACAUGAUUAAAGGUAUUCCGGUAGACGAUGGGGAUGCGUUCCAUUAGAUAGUAGGCGGGGUAACGGCCCACCUAGUCUUCGAUGGAUAGGGGUUCUGAGAGGAAGGUCCCUCACAUUGGAACUGAGACACGGUCCAA